UAGGGAAUCUUCGGCAAUGGGGGGAACCCUGACCGAGCAACGCCGCGUGAGUGAAGAAGGUUUUCGGAUCGUAAAGCUCUUUUGUUAAGGAAGAACGAGUGUGAGAAUGGAAAGUUCAUACUGUGACGGUACUUAACCAGAAAGGGACGGCUAACUACGUGCCAGCAGCCGCGGUAAUACGUAGGUCCCGAGCGUUGUCCGGAUUUAUUGGGCGUAAAGCGAGCGCAGGCGGUUAGAUAAGUCUGAAGUUAAAGGCAGUGGCUCAACCAUUGUAGGCUUUGGAAACUGUUUAACUUGAGUGCAGAAGGGGAGGGUGGAAUUCCAUGUGUAGCGGUGAAAUGCGUAGAUAUAUGGAGGAACACCGGUGGCGAAAGCGGCUCUCUGGGCUGUAACUGACGCUGAGGCAAGAAAGCGUGGGGAGCGAACAGG
This 429-nucleotide ribosomal RNA is filed under the name Bacteroidota bacterium. RNAcentral describes it as "Bacteroidetes bacterium partial 16S ribosomal RNA". It matches the Rfam family "Bacterial small subunit ribosomal RNA", at positions 355 to 776 of the family's 1533-position model. The record is from RNAcentral. Lineage: Bacteria; Pseudomonadati; Bacteroidota.